Molecule: long non-coding RNA, 225 nt
Filed under: Elaeis guineensis (African oil palm)
Lineage: Eukaryota; Viridiplantae; Streptophyta; Magnoliopsida; Arecales; Arecaceae
Description: long non-coding RNA (EGUI_LNC003493)
Source: RNAcentral
GUCCUACCAGUUUUAUUGCCUAAAUGUAUUUUUUGCCUUCAUUUGAUGCACCCAAAUUAAGCUACACAAACAUAAUAUAUUCAGCUCUUCUAAAAAAGAAAAAGAAAAUGAUAUAUGUAGCUACAACUGAAAAAUGAUAAACCUAUACAAAGUACUUGCACACUCUAUGUCUCUAUAGAAAAACAAGAUCACAUCUGUAUGAUAGCAUAAUUCAGCUAUGAUGGC